Molecule: long non-coding RNA, 3834 nt
Filed under: Heterocephalus glaber (naked mole-rat)
Lineage: Eukaryota; Metazoa; Chordata; Mammalia; Rodentia; Bathyergidae
Description: lncRNA (ENSHGLG00100048123.1)
Source: RNAcentral
GCUUCUUAGUGACAAUACAAAAAAAAUUGUAUUAUAAUAUUUUUUUGUGUUGAGAAACUAAUUCCCCUCAACAUGUUUAUUAUUAGUUCAGCCUUUAUUAAAAUAUUUUACAGGAUUAUUUUAUGAUAUAAUUGAUAGAACAUAACAUGACUUCUUAGGGGGAAAAUUAGGGUAAAUGGUGUUUUUUUAAAACAAACAAACAAACAAACACUGAUUUACUUUUGUUAAAGGAUUAUGCCUCAAGAGGCACAUGGGAAGAGACCUGGCUGUUAUUUUAGUUGCUCACCAGGAAGAUGUCUCCAAGUCAAAUACCAGUGGGUGUUCAGCUUUCCUUGUAUAAUCAGGCUCUUUUUAUUAGCUCCACACCAAAGAGGUCUGCUCACCCCAUCUAUCCAUCAUCUCUUACAACACCGAGCAUUUCCUAUGUGCAUAACCCUGAGCUCAAUGUUGAAAUCCAGCAUUGAAGAUGGCCAGUGAUUCCUGCCAUCCUGUUCUAGGAGAUGAGACAGACAUUAAAUGACUGAUAACCUCAUUAAGUAUAGGGCCUCCUGGAAAGUCACUGAAGUGAAAACUCAUUUGCAGUUCUGUGAAGCACUCCUAAGAACCAGGAAUGGAAGUUUUGUCCCAGAGAUGCCAACCAUCAACACUAUGUAUAAGAGGAGGAAGAUGCUGGAAUCGUUGCCACCCAGGCUGAUUUGAAAAUCACAUUUCAGAACGAAAACAAAUGACCCCUUUUGACCCCUGGGAAAGUAUGCUUGUGACUUCAGCUGCCUACUUCAGAAUUUGCACAGUAAGCCAUAUCUUUACAACUGGUGAAGAUUUGCUGAGAAAAUCUGGGAUGAAUGCAAAUCCCCAUCAAGCCUCCGUAAGGCCCUAGAGGUGACAUUCCAUACUGGAGGCUGUCAGCACUAUCAGUGGACACUGGAAGCUGCCUGUACCACCGCUACAGGACACCAGAUGUUGCCACCAGGGGAGUGAGAUUUCAACUGUUGCUACUGCUUAGUAACAAUGACUCCAGACUAAGAACCCCCCACAGAGCACUUGGUUCACCAAGCUUAUGACUACGAACCACAGCUGCCAGAGCACUAAAGAAACCAUUAACUCAUCAUCUCUACCUCCUUUUCAGCUUCUGUAUUAGAAGAUGGGGCUCCAAAGCUCACGACACAGAGAUUCCACAAAUGAAAGAAGCGUUGAGAUACCAGGAAGAUAUAUUUUGGCAGGUCAAGCGCUCAGACUGGGUAUUCCAGAUGAAGUUAUUAAUUCAGAUCCAGUUGAAGAAGCAAUCAGAUUCACCUAGAGAAUUUUAAGAAGAUAAUGAUAAAAGUGGUACAAAUUGAGAACAAGGUGCUGGAAAAGAAUGUGCAUUCUUUACUUGAUGUAUGUGAGAUACUAUUUCUAAUCAAGUGGUUAAAAGGGCUGAAAACCAAGACCAGACCAGGCCACUGUAAGACUGAAGGGCUUACCAAACGCUCCGAGGAGCUGACUGCAGCAAAGAACACAUGGGAAGGAACACACUGGACAAGUUGGAAAGUAAAACAGACCUUAGUCUGGCCAGACAGCACUCCCAAAGCAAAGUACUUAGAGAGGAGACCAGCCCAGAGUCCAAGGCUCUUUUUAUAGGGAGUUGCAGGGCAAGUUAACAGGUGAAAUUUACAGAAGAGGAACAAAGGUUAGUGGUCAGCUGACACGUACUGAUGGUCAGCAGAUGUUUGUAGAUUGUUCUAUAGAUGGCAGUGUCCGGAACAUCAGUUUCAAACAAAGAGUUGAGUAAUUUACUUUGGGACCUUAUGGCUGAUACAGAUCUUAUCUAGUGUCCCUAACUAACAAGCAUCUUUAUCUAUUUACUCACAUUCAAUCACAGUUGGGGCUAGGGGAGUUUUAUGACUACAGAGUUAUGCAGUCCCACACCACAACAAGCCUUUAUUAGGGGAAUAGAUCUGCCAGGCUGUCUCUGAACAAAGGAGAGACAAAAGCAACAUGGCCGGGGCAGGGAGAGUCUUUUAUAGAGACUGGAGUGGGGCUUGUAGGGGCUGAGGUGGGGUUGAGUGAGGUAGUGACUAGGGAGCGGAGGAGCCAGUGACAUCACUAGGUGGUAGGAGGUGAGCGAGUAUUAGGUUACUCUCUAGGUGGGACCAGGGGCAUGCUAGGAAGAAGGGUUUGUUCUUUGGUGGGAGCAACCAUCUUGGCGUGAUGUCACCCAGGGGAGGGAGCAAGGCACAAUAGGAAGAGGGCAGCUACUAUACAUAAUAGCUGCUGAGGUGGUGGGAGACCUAUCAGUCUCGUGCAAUAUUAUGUGAGUCCUGCAUCCCUGGCUCAGGUUCCAAGUGUUUGGAAAUGGUGCCGAAACUGUGCAGUCAGGAAAGGAGAGCCUAUAUCUGGAAUAUAUGUCAGUUCCAGUCAAAAUGGAUCGUGGAUCCUCCCGGAUAGAAGCGCUCUGAUAUAACUGCCUUACCACCGAGCAUAGAGUCCCGGCAUGCGGAAUGCAGCCUUGGUCUCUGGCCAGCAGUCUAUUCAGCAAUGAGAUCAUCCCUGGUGAGGAGGAGUCCGUUCUGCUCAGUUCAUGCAUAACUCCAUCCACUCUUGUUAUUCACCACUCAUGCCAGCACUACAGGAGGCCCAGCACUGACCAGAUGGUGACUACUCUGUACUUGGUUGUUUAUUUAUCUUCUGUAGUAGGCAUUCUCUGGAGGUCAUUGGCCAGUGAUACAUAGUUGUUCAAACUUCUUGCUCACUCCUGUUGGCCCAUCCCUCAAUUUUCCAUUUUUGCUGUCCCUUGCCUUCCACUAUUUCUAUUUUCAGGCCCUGUUUGAAAACAGUUGGAGGUGUUGGCUGCCACCCAUCUAGUCUUACCUCAAGCCAAGUUGCUAAUCCAAGUACUGUCUUCUUCUACUCUCUGCCAUGGAAAUCCUAGCAUUUCUACUUCACUAAAUGUGUGCCUUGAUUUUCUCUAAGCUUGCAAGAGUCAGCCCAGCAUUGUCUUAGCAAUGUCUCCUGGAAUGGCAAGGCACUGAAUCCUGCAUCAGAUAAGCACUUGCAUGUUUACAGACUCUAUCAACGGAAGUUUUUGACCUGGGCCCCUCAGUGCAUUGUAUACACCCCCAGUUUCUGCAGAUAAGUGUUGGCGACUUCCUACAGUUCUGAAGACAAACGCCCUUUUCUCCCUUAGUAGUCUCAGCACUUCCCUGGAUAGAUUAUUUGGGAGUUUACCUCUGAUUAUCAUUCAGAUGGCCAGGAGGGAUGUUAGGGCUGUUUUCUGAGGUGGGAAUGUAUUGUUGUGCAAGCCAGAAGCCUCUGAAUUGCCCUGAGCAAGGUGGGGAGCAGAAGUGUUGAGCAGGGCUGUCCAGGCCACCUCUGCAGGCCCAAACCAUUCAGGGGGACCUCAGAGUUUCAGAUUUCCAAAUUCAUUGACCCAAAUGUCCCCAUCCUAAUUUUUCCCCACCAAGACCCUAAGCUACACAUAUAAAGAUGCCAUGAGAAUUCAACCUUCUCUAGAAUCCCACCUCUGCUAUAAUUAAGUCCUGAGUCUGACCACUCUUUGUUUCCCCUGUGACUACAAGAAAUGACUCCUUCAUAUGCUGCCAGGGAAGUUCUCUGAUGUUCACAGUGCAUCUUACAUUGUGAAGGUAAUUAAUCACCUUCACACCUUUUAUUAUAUUUCUCUAGUACAAAAAUAGCCCCCAGCAACAGCCAUCUGAUUUCAUUUAAUUACAACUUCCUAUAAACCUCUCAAAUGCCUGAGAUAUUACCCUCAUUAUCCUCUACCAAUAUCCCAUCCCAACUUCUCCACCAGUAAAGCUUUUGCAGUUAUAGCAUGCCAGGGACUAUGAAUACUCC